AAUCCAUGAUUUGAGCAUUUUUUCAGCAUCAUUUUAAAUCUCUUUCAUGUCUCACAGAAGGCUUCAUCUGAUCCUUGUCUGAACAUAGAAAUAUCAUACUUUGCUU
RNAcentral lists this small nucleolar RNA (106 nucleotides) under Phaseolus vulgaris (common bean). RNAcentral's name for it is "Plant small nucleolar RNA R71". It matches the Rfam family "Plant small nucleolar RNA R71". Rfam says of the family: R71 is a member of the C/D box family of snoRNAs containing the C (UGAUGA) and D (CUGA) box motifs. Multiple nearly identical copies of this snoRNA have been identified in Arabidopsis, and it is thought to function as a 2'-O-ribose methylation guide for 18S ribosomal RNA. Lineage: Eukaryota; Viridiplantae; Streptophyta; Magnoliopsida; Fabales; Fabaceae. The record is from Rfam by way of RNAcentral.